Molecule: ribosomal RNA, 486 nt
Filed under: uncultured bacterium
Lineage: Bacteria
Description: partial 16S ribosomal RNA
Rfam family: Bacterial small subunit ribosomal RNA
Source: RNAcentral
GACGAACGCUGGCGGCGUGCUUAACACAUGCAAGUCGAACGCUGAAGACCUGGCUUUUGUUGGGUUGGAUGAGUGGCGAACGGGUGAGUAACACGUGAGUAACCUGCCCUCUUCUUUGGGAUAACGCCCGGAAACGGGUGCUAAUACUGGAUAUUCACUGAUCUUCGCAUGGGGGUUGGUGGAAAGGGUUGUUCUGGUGGGGGAUGGGCUCGCGGCCUAUCAGCUUGUUGGUGGGGUGAUGGCCUACCAAGGCUUUGACGGGUAGCCGGCCUGAGAGGGUGACCGGUCACAUUGGGACUGAGAUACGGCCCAGACUCCUACGGGAGGCAGCAGUGGGGAAUAUUGCACAAUGGGCGAAAGCCUGAUGCAGCGACGCCGCGUGAGGGAUGGAGGCCUUCGGGUUGUAAACCUCUUUCGCUCAUGGUCAAGCCGCAACUGUGGGUUGUGGUGAGGGUAGUGGGUAAAGAAGCGCCGGCUAACUACGUG